CCCUUAGAUGUUCUGGGCUGCACGCGUGCUACAAUGGCGUUUCCAGCAAGUCUGCGAACCCGAGAGGGCCAGCGGAUCUUCGAAUUGGCGUCGUGAUCGGGACAGUCGAUUGCAAUUAUUUGACUCAAACGAGGAAUUCCUUGUAAUCGCGAUUCAUCAUAUCGCGCUGAAUACGUCCCUGCCCUUUGUACACACCGCCCGUCGCUCCUACCGAUUGAGCGAUCCGGUAAAUGUUUUGGAUUGGUGCCGGGGCGGUUAGCUGCCGGUCGCUACGAAAUUUUGUGAACCUUAUCGCUUAGAGGAAGGAAAAGUCGUAACA
Molecule: ribosomal RNA, 319 nt
Filed under: uncultured eukaryote
Lineage: Eukaryota
Description: partial 18S ribosomal RNA
Rfam family: Eukaryotic small subunit ribosomal RNA
Source: RNAcentral